GAAAUGUUAACACGGCGGAAGAGCGCCUGUUUCCUUACCCGGAGGUCCCUGGAUCGAAACCAGGACAUGCUA
Molecule: transfer RNA, 72 nt
Filed under: Penicillium nalgiovense
Lineage: Eukaryota; Fungi; Ascomycota; Eurotiomycetes; Eurotiales; Aspergillaceae
Description: tRNA-Pseudo
Source: RNAcentral